AGAGCGAACGCUGGCGGCAGGCUUAACACAUGCAAAUCGAGCGGGCGUAGCAAUACGUCAGCGGCAGACGGGUGAGUAACGCGUGGGAACGUACCUUUUGGUUCGGAACAACACAGGGAAACUUGUGCUAAUACCGGAUAAGCCCUUACGGGGAAAGAUUUAUCGCCGAAAGAUCGGCCCGCGUCUGAUUAGCUAGUUGGUGAGGUAAUGGCUCACCAAGGCGACGAUCAGUAGCUGGUCUGAGAGGAUGAUCAGCCACAUUGGGACUGAGACACGGCCCAAACUCCUACGGGAGGCAGCAGUGGGGAAUAUUGGACAAUGGGCGCAAGCCUGAUCCAGCCAUGCCGCGUGAGUGAUGAAGGCCCUAGGGUUGUAAAGCUCUUUUGUGCGGGAAGAUAAUGACGGUACCGCAAGAAUAAGCCCCGGCUAACCUUCGCGCCAGCAGCCGC
RNAcentral lists this ribosomal RNA (449 nucleotides) under uncultured bacterium. Its description in RNAcentral is "SSU rRNA". It matches the Rfam family "Bacterial small subunit ribosomal RNA", at positions 26 to 518 of the family's 1533-position model. The record is from RNAcentral.